UCAAUGUAUUUUAGCAUAAUAUCAGAAUCAAAAUUUAAAAGAUUUUGAAUCCAAAAAAAAGAUCAGAAAAGACAGACCAUCAGAAUGACAAAAAAAUAAUAAUAAAUUAAAUGGUAAUGUAAAAUUUUUAAAUUUUAAAUGAUAAAAUGUUAAGCGCCAAAGGCAUAAAAAUUCAGAGGGCUUACCCUUUAUUUUAAAAAAUGAAAUGAUUUAUAAGAAAAAGAAGAGAAACUGGAAAAAGAGAAAGGAGAAAAAGAAAAAAGCAAAUUGGAAAUGGAGAGGAGAAGCAACCGAUUUCAACGUCCAAAUCCAAACCCACCGGUCUUCUUCUUCUCGGGAACCAACAACAACUUCUCACUAACAAAUUCUCUUCAAACCCACUCAAAAUUCGGAUGAUUCAACAAGCAGAAGAAGAAGCACUGCCCAUCAACAAAAACAACAAGAAAACAACGCGAAAAUGCGACUUCUGGCAUUCCACCAUUGUUGGAACUUGCUCUUUGAUAUGCCCAGAGAGCGAAAGGGCUCAGCGUAAAAGGCUACGGGAUUUAGCUGUGUUUGAGAGGUUGAAUGGAAAUCCAGCUCAAUCUUCUCCAAGCCUAGCAGUUAGAAAGAGCAUUUGUUUAAGAUGGAGAAGCUUGUUGUUAACUGGAUUCUUUGGCGGCGAAAAGAUCUUGGAACCUUAACCAUAAAGGGAGUGCAAGCAUUAGAUGUUCGAUCCCUCCCUGUUUUGGAAGACACUUUAAACUACCUUCUAGGACUGUUGGAUAAUACAGAACAUCCUUAUGAAGUAGUCCAUGACUUCAUCUUUGAUAGGACAAGAUCCAUAAGACAAGAUAUUACCAUGCAGAAUAUUGUCAAUAGUAGUAAUGCGUACGUAUCAGCAAAGGGUGUGUUUUUCUGAGAAACCUUCAGUUGUCUUUGCAUUCUAAAAGUUUUUCUUCUGAACAUGCCUACCGAUGUUAGUAUUUCCCUUCCAUAUAUAUGUUUUUUGUUGACACAAUAUUUGUACAAUAAAGGAUUGUCUUGCGUGGUCAAAUCGUAUUAUCAAAUCUUUUGUAUUGAUUUCCUAUCAAUCAAAGAUUGUUUAUUAUCAGAAAAAAAUAAAAAAAUCAGAUUGCAUUAUCUUGUGAAGUUUACUCUUUGACUUGUAUUAUCUUGUGGAGCAAACAACAAAUUGCAUCAGAUGCUUGAGCUUGAAACCAAAUUUAGGGUAUUACUCAGUUGUAUUAUUCAUUAUAUAUGAACGCAUAUGACAAGCAAGCCACCAUUACUAAUUGAUACUUUUGUGCACAUAUUCAUCUAUUUAGUUCUGUAAUUAUUUAGUAUUUGGAUCUUUAAAUCAUGAGAACAUGUAAAAUGCUGUAUAUAAUUGCAUGUGUUUUAUUUUAUAGGUUAAAUUUCAUGUCAUAUCUCACUACAAGCUUAGAAGUUGUGGUACCUCUCUGAAUACUUCUGUACAUUACCCCAACAUGGAGCAGCUUACAGAGGCUCUGACUACUCUUUUCAAUCUGCAUGAAGCCAAUCGUAGCUCCAAUUCUACUUAUAAAAAUGAAGCCGAAUUCUGUUCUUAUUAUGUGCUGCUUCAUCUUGGUUCUAACCGCUAACCAGUGGUUGAUCUCCAUUUUAUGGCCAUACUAGUAGUUUUUCCUUUAUUGCUGUCUUGCGCUAAGUCUUAAGUACAUGAUAUGUAGCUAUUCUGAUCUGGGGGGAAAGUCACUCUCUGUGUGGUUUUGCAAUGCGUCUUCUCCGAUUAUCAAUUUGACAGAAAUGAGCUUUGCCCGGAAUAUUUAACUGAUGGGGAGUUACAAGCGUUUUUUAUGCGUUACUGAAUCCAAGGCAUUUUACCUCCAAUACUACAUUAUCGAACCUUACGUGGAUGGGGUCUGGGCAUUGGCGCUCUCAUGUAUCAAUAACUGUGGCUAAAACUUCAUCCCUAUCCUUUAGCACACCUAUCCAACCUAUUGAUGAUGAAGGAUCUGAUACAAAAUCACUUUGCAAGGCAUGUGGUCUUGAAAUUUGCAUGGACGAAGAAGGAAAUAAGUUAUUACCAACCAAGCUAACAACCUUCUCUUGUUCCGAAGGAGGUUUGGAGUUCUACAGCUUCUCAGGUUUGGAAUGGCACAACCUUUUCUUGUUCCAAAGAAAAAUUGUUCCUCAUGUACUUGCUCCUUUUUUACACCUUCACUGGUGCUAAGUAUAAGUUUUACAUAUUUAAUGAUAUGGAAAAAUUAUUUGUAAGUACAACUUGGGUUUUAACAUUUUUGAAAUAAUUAUUUGUUAAUAUUGUCGUUCAAAUUCUUUUUAUUUA
Long non-coding RNA from Ziziphus jujuba (common jujube), 2308 nucleotides. RefSeq lists it as uncharacterized. The record is from RefSeq and is a predicted model, not a curated record. The transcript has 7 exons. NCBI's taxonomy places the organism in Eukaryota, Viridiplantae, Streptophyta, Magnoliopsida, Rosales, Rhamnaceae.